UACUUCCGUAGGUGUUCCUGCGGAGGGAUCAUUGCCGAGUUUACAACUCCCAAACCCCUGUGAACAUACCACUUGUUGCCUCGGCGGAUCAGCCCGCUCCCGGUAAAACGGGACGGCCCGCCAGAGGACCCCUAAACUCUGUUUCUAUAUGUAACUUCUGAGUAAAACCAUAAAUAAAUCAAAACUUUCAACAACGGAUCUCUUGGUUCUGGCAUCGAUGAAGAACGCAGCAAAAUGCGAUAAGUAAUGUGAAUUGCAGAAUUCAGUGAAUCAUCGAAUCUUUGAACGCACAUUGCGCCCGCCAGUAUUCUGGCGGGCAUGCCUGUUCGAGCGUCAUUUCAACCCUCAAGCACAGCUUGGUGUUGGGACUCGCGUUAAUUCGCGUUCCUCAAAUUGAUUGGCGGUCACGUCGAGCUUCCAUAGCGUAGUAGUAAAACCCUCGUUACUGGUAAUCGUCGCGGCCACGCCGUUAAACCCCAACUUCNGAAUGUGACCUCGGAUUCANGGUAGNAUNACCNGU
RNAcentral lists this ribosomal RNA (520 nucleotides) under Fusarium oxysporum. RNAcentral describes it as "eukaryotic LSU rRNA". The stretch from base 183 to 336 matches the Rfam family "5.8S ribosomal RNA". Lineage: Eukaryota; Fungi; Ascomycota; Sordariomycetes; Hypocreales; Nectriaceae. The record is from RNAcentral.